RNAcentral lists this ribosomal RNA (433 nucleotides) under uncultured bacterium. Its description in RNAcentral is "partial 16S ribosomal RNA". It matches the Rfam family "Bacterial small subunit ribosomal RNA", at positions 29 to 507 of the family's 1533-position model. The record is from RNAcentral.
AACGAACGCUGGCGGCAUGCCUAACACAUGCAAGUCGAACGAGACGUUCGGGUCUAGUGGCGCACGGGUGCGUACCGCGUGGGAACCUGCCCUUAGGUUCCGAAUAACUCCCCGAAAGGGGUGCUAAUACCGGAUAAGGUCUUAGGACCAAAGAUUUAUUGCCUUGGGAUGGGCGCGCGUUGGUUUAGCCAGUUGGUAGUGUAAUAGCCUACCAACGCGACGAUCCAUAGCUGGUCUGAUAGGAUGCUCAGCCACACUGGGAAUGCGACACGGCCCAGACUCCUACGGGACGCAGCAGUGUGGAAUAUUGGAGAAGGGGGGAAGGUGUAGUACAGCAAUGCCGGGGAAGACAUGAAGGGCGUAGGGUUGUAAAGCUCUCUUACACGGGGUGAUAAUGACAGUACCGGGUGAAUAAGCACCGGCUAACUCCGUG